AUGGAGGAAAAUUCAGGGAUGGAAAGAGAGAAUGUUAUCAUGUGCAGGAAAGGAAAUCCUCAUAAAAGUGGUUGCACAAGCGAUCCCUAUUUAUGCUAUGGCAUGUUUCGACAUAAGUCCCUAUGUUAUCAGAUAAGCGCAAUGAUAUGCCGAUAUUGCUGGAGCCAAAUGGCCAAGGAAAACAAAAUUCAUUGGAUAAGUUGGGAGAAACUUGUCUUGCCGAAGAGGGAAGGUGGAUUAGGAUUUAGGGAUCUCCAUUGUUUCAACCUCGCGAUGUUAGCAAAACAGGCAUGGAGACUCAUUCAGAAUCCUGACUCAUUAUGUGCUCAAGUCUUAGCUGCAAAGUAUUUCCCCCACGGGCAAAUUCUGAAGGCAACAACUAUGAAGCGCAUGUCAUACUCCUGGCGAAGUAUCUUGAAGGGGGUCAAGGUGCUUAAUGAGGGUGUUAUUUGGCGAGUGGGAAAUGGUUUAAACAUAAACAUUUGGAAUGAUCCAUGGCUACCGCGAAGCUCAACGAGGAGGCCAAUCACAGUAAGAGGAAGAAACAUGUUACUAUACAAAGUAUCUGAACUCAUAAACCCUGUGACCGGAAGCUGGGAUGAAGAAUUAGUCUAUCAAACCUUCUGCAAUGAAGAUGCCAAUCUCAUUAUGCAGCUGCAAGUAAAUGAGUCAGCGGAUGGCAAUUUAGCUUGGCAUUAUAACAAGAAGGGCCUCUUCACAGUAAAGUCUGCAUACAAGGUGGCAAUGGACAGUGAAGCCAAACAUACAACUAGUGGGAUCCAAUCAGGCUCAAACAGUACAUCAAAUAAUAUCAGUUUUGAUUGGAUGAAAUUAUGGAAGAUCCCAUUACCAAGUAAGAUCCGACUUUUCCUAUGGAGAUUAGCACAUCACAGCCUGCCUUGGAGACAAAAGCUAAUUAAAAGAGGAAUGGAGAUUAGUUCUAAAUGCCCUGUUUGUUGCAGGUUGGAUGAGGAUGGGGGCCACUGUUUCCUCAAAUGCAAGCAAGUAAAGAAAAUAUGGAGGGCACUGCAAAUGGAAGACAUUAGGCUAUCUCUCGUAAUUUAUCCAAACCCCCAAGAUGUUUUAAUUGAAAUCUUUAAACAAAAAGAAGAGGUAGCUACAAAAAUCUGUAUUAUGAUGUGGUUGUGGUGGCAUGAACGUAAUAAAGCAAAUAGAGGUGAACAAAUUAGAAACUGUGAGGAGGUAGUAAGCUCAAUAGUAUUACAUCAUAGUGAGUUUAUGCAGAUGGUAAAGAAAGACAUGUACACAGGAAAAACCACAACAUCACGGCAAAAAUGGACUCCACCGCCAUCAAGUUACCUGAAAAUAAAUGUUGAUGGAGCUUUCAAGGAAGAAGAUCAUACAGGAGGCUGGGGCUACAUCAUUCGCAAUCCAGAGGGACUUGCAGAGGCAGCAGGAGCAGGGAGGUUGAGCCAUAUCAUGGAUGCUCUCCAAGCAGAAAGCCUAGCCCUCAUCGGAGCAAUUGAAAGAGCAAGUGAUUUGGGGUGUCAAAAUGUCAUUUUUGAAACUGAUUCCCGUGUGCUGCAACAAGCAAUCUCUACUGAAGAGUAUGAUGCUUCCUUGUGUGGUGCUCUAUUCAUGAAGGCAAGAAGACUUUUAUGGUUGUACUUUAAUGAUGUAAAAAUUGUGUGGGUUCCAAGAGUCUGUAACUAUGUAGCCCAUGUUUUAGCGUCUCAUGGCGCUGGUUUGGAGUCGGGAGACCAAGUUCACUGGCUUUGCGAUGUCCCAGACUUUGUAAAUUCUGCAGUUGCCAGCGAUUUAGCUGGCCUGCCUGAGUAA
Molecule: ribosomal RNA, 1800 nt
Filed under: Triticum aestivum (bread wheat)
Lineage: Eukaryota; Viridiplantae; Streptophyta; Magnoliopsida; Poales; Poaceae
Description: partial small subunit ribosomal RNA
Source: RNAcentral